Molecule: transfer RNA, 72 nt
Filed under: Camelus bactrianus (Bactrian camel)
Lineage: Eukaryota; Metazoa; Chordata; Mammalia; Artiodactyla; Camelidae
Also listed under: 2 other names
Rfam family: tRNA
About the family: Transfer RNA (tRNA) molecules are approximately 80 nucleotides in length. Their secondary structure includes four short double-helical elements and three loops (D, anti-codon, and T loops).
Source: Rfam by way of RNAcentral
GAGAGUAUAGUUCAGUGGUAGAGUGCAUGCCUAGCCUGCACCAGUGCCUGGGUUCAAUCCCCAGUACCUCCA